UUAGGCCCUUAUCGAAGCUGUGGCAGUUCCUCCUAUAGCUGUUGCAGUCAAAAUGGAGCCCAGAGUAAGUUUCCCAAUGGUCGUUGUUGUAUUUAACACUGUAGUAGAACAGCAACAUUAUGGGAAAAGACAGAA
Small nucleolar RNA from Vombatus ursinus (common wombat), 135 nucleotides. NCBI's taxonomy places the organism in Eukaryota, Metazoa, Chordata, Mammalia, Diprotodontia, Vombatidae. The record is from Ensembl.